This is a long non-coding RNA of Pseudophryne corroboree (corroboree frog), 926 nucleotides long. RefSeq lists it as uncharacterized. The record is from RefSeq and is a predicted model, not a curated record. Lineage: Eukaryota; Metazoa; Chordata; Amphibia; Anura; Myobatrachidae. The transcript has 3 exons.
GUCACUGAAGACGCAGCAGGUCUUCGCCCCGUUCCCCUCUCUCCCCUUCCAUCAGUUAUUUUGGAGUCAAAUAGGAGACGCCACAAGAAGUCACAUGAUAUACAUGUGACUGUGUGUACACUGUCUGGAGGAGCAAGCUGUCGUGAGGAGAGGAGGACCAGCCAGCUAGUGUGACAGCCUGCAGCACUAGCCACCAGCUACAGAAGAGCUGAUACUCAGAGGAGAGAUCUAUCUUAUCUGGAUGAUGGGAGGAGCGGUUUAUGACCCACCAGAGUGUAAAGAAACCCUUCAAGGCUUUAUCAUACCUGUUUCUUGGUGAGCCCAGCUAUCUAUCGCCCCCCUGGGCAUCCCAAACAAUAUCUAGAUGAUUUUUCUGCCUGGCUCCCUCACUUCUUAUCCUCUGAUGUCUCCAUCAUUAUCAUGGGAUAUUUCAAUAUUGCUACUGAAAGUCCAAAAUCUGCUGCUCAUGCCUCCAAUCUACUCUCUCUGACCUCCUCUCUCGGCCUCUCACAAUGGACUGACUCCUCUACUCAUCAGGAGGGCCACUGCCUUGAUCUAGUAUUUACCAGACUAUGCUCCGUUUCUGAACUCACUAACACUCCUUUCCCUCUCUCAGGUCACAACUGUCACGAUCCGGGUAUCUGGACGCCAUUUCUUACCCAUCAGAUGCCUCCUAAGGCUGGCUCAGCGCUCCAGGACCGGAUCCCAUCUGUUAUCCUGAUGUGUACAUUCCUGUAUCCUCUCCUGUCACUCUGGGACGCUGUCACAGUAAACGCCAUAUUACACCUGGCAUGGCGUCUCCCGCGGCCUCCGCCGCCGUCCCUGCUCUUCUGCAUGCAGAGUGUCUGAGUGGCGAUUACGUCAGCCGCGGCCUCCGCUGUGUCCGCGUGGUUGGAUGUGCAUCUGUCAGCCUGGCGCCUCCUGUC